RNAcentral lists this ribosomal RNA (254 nucleotides) under uncultured bacterium. RNAcentral's name for it is "partial 16S ribosomal RNA". It matches the Rfam family "Bacterial small subunit ribosomal RNA", at positions 524 to 776 of the family's 1533-position model. The record is from RNAcentral.
UACGUAGGUAGCAAGCGUUGUUCGGAGUUACUGGGCGUAAAGAGUGCGUAGGCGGUCCUUUAAGUUUGGUGUGAAAUCUCCCGGCUCAACUGGGAGGGUGCGCCGAAAACUGGAGGGCUUGAGUGUGGGAGAGGCAAGCGGAAUUCCUGGUGUAGCGGUGAAAUGCGCAGAUAUCUGGAGGAACACCGGUGGCGAAGGCGGCAUCCUGGACCAACACUGACGCUGAGUGAGCGAAAGCCAGGGGAGCAAACGGG